AUGCAUGGUAGUUACAGAGCAAUAUCUGACUACCAUUGACCAAUCAGAAUCGAGUAUUCCUGAACUAUAUACUCUAUUUAUUUUACUCUGGAAACAUUCUGAAUAUAUUAUGAAGUUUAGAUCAGUUAAUUAAUUCUGAUAAAAUGUAAUUGGUAGGGGUUACAUUUAUUAAGUAUCUGAUCUGAUCUUGAAGGUAUUGCUGAAAAUCUAGUAUUGUAGUUAUAAAAGUUUUCCAAUGAUUUGGAUGACAUACAUUCUGUUUUAUUCAUGAUUUUCAACCAUAAUAAUCAACAGAACAGCAAGUCCAUAUUGACUGUCCUUCAUUAGUUCGGAGUAUUGCAUUGAUUGAAUUCAGUGUGCUAAGAAUACAGCACCAUGGACAGCAACUCAAAGCACAUGACUACGGUGAGUACACAUUCAUUAAGUGUGAUCUGAAGAAUUCAAUAUCAAAAAGAUUGGUAUCAUUUAGCCUUAAAAAAUACAUUCUCAUAAUACUUAAUAAUCUUCUUGAGCCUCAUUUGAAACCUUUUAUGAUUAAGGUCAGAGAAAGUUAAAAAGGUAACAACAAAACUCCAUGUUGAAUGUACUUUAGUAAAUGACAAGUUUAUUUCUCGAACAAAAUGUACAAAAUAACAAGCAAAUGGACAGACCUGCCUACUCCCCAUCCCCCCACCUCCCCCAACCCUGUUUUUUUUUUUUUUUAUCUUUCCCAUUGAUAUGAACUUGAAGAUCUGGAACAUAUUUCUAGGGCAAGUCCGAUGGUCCAAGCCAAAACGCAUGUUUAUUUUUGUUUUCUUUUAAAGACAACACAUACCCAAUUCAGAGUCACUGAACAAUUAAAAAUGAAUAAAAACACCAUAUUUACAAUCUUGUCUGAACUUUUACAGCAUGCCAUCUAUAUAUUCAUACAGAAUUUUGCUUUUCAACAUAACUCCAUAUAGAAAAUGUAUUAGAAGAUCAAAUUAAGUCAGACUAACGGCGCGAGACAUCCAAAGUACAGCACUGCUUUUGUCUUUUUGAUUCAUUCUUUUGUUUCUAACCCCACAUUUUUUUAAUUCAGUCAUUCUGACAGAAAAAAAAUCUAUACUGUAUGGAAAGAACAUCUGUUUAGUAGGCCUCCACACAGGACAAACCUCUUAUUUACACCAAGUACAGUUUUUUGCAGCUUUAAGUCUCCUUUUGAUGUUAGAUUUCAGUGUUAUUACUGAAUUUCGAAAUCAUCUGAUUUUGGAUAUAUUCACCCAAAUGUCACAGCAUAUCUCCUCCAUGUAAAAGGCAAUGUUGCAGUUUCAUUUGGCAAUGAUUUGCUUUUGGUUACAGAGAAAAGCAAAUCCAACAUUGCUGUGUUGUCUUUCUCAAUGCUAAAUCUAUUUUUUGUUAUAGACGAUCAGCCACAACAUUAAAUCCACCUGCCUAAUAUUGUGUAGGUGGUUUAAAUGUUGUGGCUGAUCGGUGUAUGACUUUCAGUCAGACUGUAGAACCCUGAAUGAGUAGCAGUGGUAAAAGAAGCAGCUAUGGCACAGGGCAGAAUGUGUCACGUCUGAGAUACAGUUUCAUGGCUUACUCAGUGUGAUUUUUUUAACGUCUAAAAUUUACAAGAGAAUAAAAUUCAAGCAAUUUGAAGGAUUAUUUAUACAACUGGCCAUUAAUUUUCACAGAUGAAUUAGCAUGUUUUCAGCGUAUCGUACAUUGGUAUGAAGGCAUUUAAAAUAAAUUGCUGUGUUUGCAGUUUGUCACCUUGGUAGAGUAUUGCUGUACAGCACUAGUGAGUAAGUCUAACAAAAUGGAUCAUUUCUUUACAAAACUAUCCUGUGCUUUCCAAAUAUAUACAGCUAUGAAACCUAAAUCAGUCUCUGUUUAAAGUACGCUUUUGAUUUCUGUUGGUAUCAACAGAAAAAUUUAUCUCAAUUAUGGUGCAUCACAUGUUAACUUUACAUUUAUUCUGUAACAGACUUUGUUAGAGGAAAUGUCAUGGACUGCAAUUUCCUCAGGAAACCCACAAUUGCACUGAAAGAAGCAUAUCGAGGAUAAUGAGGCAUAUUUAUUCAAAUCAAAUCAAGUCUAAAUGCAUGAAAUUGGAUUCAAACUGUACACAGUUUUAAGCCAUGUGAAGUGGGAUUCCUAUCAUUUUCAAGUGUGCAAAAAUAUUCUAUAGACAUACAUUGGAAUAUGAACCAUUUUUGUUGGUGGUUUUAACUGUCACUUUAAAUCAAAUCUUUAAAAGUUGAAUACGUUUUUUGUUGUUUUUCUAUCCUUAUUGGGUAGGCUGCAAUUCUAUUCAUUUUUUUAUUUU
Long non-coding RNA from Myxocyprinus asiaticus (Chinese sucker), 2293 nucleotides. RefSeq lists it as uncharacterized. The transcript is spliced from 2 exons. Lineage: Eukaryota; Metazoa; Chordata; Actinopteri; Cypriniformes; Catostomidae. The record is from RefSeq and is a predicted model, not a curated record.